Molecule: RNA transcript, 2241 nt
Organism: Populus nigra (black poplar)
Lineage: Eukaryota; Viridiplantae; Streptophyta; Magnoliopsida; Malpighiales; Salicaceae
Gene name: heterogeneous nuclear ribonucleoprotein 1-like
Exons: 6
Source: RefSeq, a predicted model, not a curated record
GUUAGAAAAUAAGGGGGGAAAAAAGUACUAAAGCGCAAUAAACCCAGCCCAUCCAUGGCUUCCUUUCUUACGUUUUUCUCCUUCGUCUUUGUCAUUCCUUUUGGAAAAUUAAAAAGAAAUAAUAAAAAGAGAAGCCAUUGUUGACGUUUGUUAAAGCUUGAAGCAGCAAUGGACCGACACCAUAACGAACCCAAUCACGAGGAUGAACCUAACAACGCUAAAUUCACUCGACCUCUCUCUGGAGAUGGAGCUAGCACUGGAAAGAUUUUCAUUGGAGGUUUAGCAAGAGAGAGACUACUACUGCACAAUUCAUCAAGCAUUUUGGUGAAUAUGGUGAAAUUACAGAUUCUGUGAUAAUGAACGACCGGAAAACAGGGCAGCCUCGUGGAUUUGGCUUUGUGACCUAUUCAGAUCCGUCUGCUGUUGAUCAAGUCGUUCAAGAUACUCAUAUUAUCAAUGGCAAACAAGUUGAAAUCAAGCGAACAAUACCAAAGGGAGCUGCUGGGUCUAAGGAUUUUAAAACCAAGAAGAUAAUUAUGAGUUCAAGAAAUUGUUUACUUUCGGAGAGGUUACAGAACAUCAGAUCAUGCGGGACCACUCCACCAAUUGUUCUCGUGGGUUCGGGAUUUAUCACAUUUGAUACGGAGAAGGCAGUUGAUGAUCUCUUGGCCAAGGGAUUUAAACUUGAGCUGGCUGGAAUUCAGUUUAUUUCAGGUUCUCAAACGUUAUUCUUGAAGAAAGGAUGCAACCAUUAAGAGUUGAGGGAGAGGACUUCGAAGGGGGCAUUUGUGGUUGCGUUUUACUUGUUCAGUUCGAACUUCAGUCAGGAAAACCAGCAGAAGACACGUGGGAUCAUUAUUUCUUACCAUUAAUUGAUGCACCUGUGUGCAUUUGAAUUUACUCAAUGGAAAGUUAGAAAGCCUUCUGCAUCCAUGUGCACAUAGGAUGUAAUAUUUAGAACAUCAUCUAGAACUCUUCUGUAGAUAGAUCCAAUGGCUUCUUAUAGUCCAGAAGUUUUUGGGCCUCACGAUAUGCAAUGAUGAAGAUUUGGAAGCCUCGGUCAAGGUAGGAGCCAUCAACAACAUCAGUCCAAACUCGGCAGCCAACAGCAUCUGAAGCCUCGAGCAGGAGGAAAGGGAUGUUUUUGGGAGUUGAGCCUGGUUGCGGCAGCUAGGCCUGCAAGGCCUGCUCGGGUAACAAUAACUCGAAUUUUUUUGGUCGUGUCGAUGCAUUGGGCUAUCAGUCUGAAAAGGAGGUGUUUUUUAAGGAUGAGUAAGGGAGAGAAGGGGCAAGAGUGAGUGUACUGAUUGAAUGAGUAAGGGCUUUACUUAUUAAACCCGGACCGGCCUAGCGGGUCGACCCGGGACCGGGUCGACUUGGUGGCUAGACCGGUUCGGGUUUAUCAAAAGAUCGGCCUAUGCAAUGACCUAGCCAAACCCGGUCGACCUGGUGGGUCGACCCAUGACCCGGGCAAACUCGGGCGAGACCCGGGUGACUCUCCAUGGUAGAUUUGAGAUCUUAUCUCUGUCUGGAUCUUUCUUGCCGCCUCCAGCCCCUCCAAGCACGACGAGCCUCACAAUCUUCCUUACUAGGGGACAAGGCCAGACGAUUUGAGAUCUAACUUCAAAAGACUUGAGAAAGGCUUCUCGAAGGACCACAAAAAAGCACUCAUAACCCUUUGUGAAGGCAUAUAUAUGAGAUUGUAGAGAUAUGGCUUGGAGCUCACUGUUCCUGCAUCCAAGCCCAUAACUGAGUAAGAAAGUGAUUGAAGAAAGAAAAGGCAAGCAAUAUCAUGGCCAACCUGAAACAGCAAAUCCAACCACAAAAAAUGGAUUACGCGUUGGCAAGAAAAAGAAGUAGCGGUUGCGAGUAGUGAAGUAUGGAGGAUAAAGAUGAAAAAUGAAUCAAGAAUAAUAGGAGCAGAAAUAAACAUGAAGGACAAUAGCGCAAGCAUCCGAGAAAGCACGCUGCCUUUGGAUGGGUAUGAUCAAUUGCUGAUGAGAGGCUGCCUUUGGAUGAGGACGACCAAUUGCUAAUGCAGAGUGGUGAAGGGGGUGGAGGUUGUGCUGGUGAUGGGAUUGGGGUUAGGAAUAAUGGUCUUUCUAAUGAAAUGGGAGCGGAUUCCAAGGGCUGUUUUUUUCUUUAUUUUUUAAAUGUGGGUAUUUUUUUAUAUUUUUUUAGUUGGUUAUUAUUUUUUUAAAAGUUUAUUAUAUAAAUAUUAGAAAAAUAUUUUAUUUACAA